GAUGAACGCUGGCGGCGUGCCUAAUACAUGCAAGUCGAGCGAACAGACGAGGAGCUUGCUCCUCUGACGUUAGCGGCGGACGGGUGAGUAACACGUGGAUAACCUACCUAUAAGACUGGGAUAACUUCGGGAAACCGGAGCUAAUACCGGAUAAUAUAUUGAACCGCAUGGUUCAAUAGUGAAAGACGGUUUUGCUGUCACUUAUAGAUGGAUCCGCGCCGCAUUAGCUAGUUGGUAAGGUAACGGCUUACCAAGGCGACGAUGCGUAGCCGACCUGAGAGGGUGAUCGGCCACACUGGAACUGAGACACGGUCCAGACUCCUACGGGAGGCAGCAGUAGGGAAUCUUCCGCAAUGGGCGAAAGCCUGACGGAGCAACGCCGCGUGAGUGAUGAAGGUCUGCGGAUCGUAAAACUCUGUUAUUAGGGAAGAACAAAUGUGUAAGUAACGAUGCACGUCUGGACGGUACCUAAUCAGAAAGCCACGGCGAACUACGU
Molecule: ribosomal RNA, 496 nt
Filed under: uncultured bacterium
Lineage: Bacteria
Description: partial 16S ribosomal RNA
Rfam family: Bacterial small subunit ribosomal RNA
Source: RNAcentral